This 305-nucleotide long non-coding RNA is filed under the name Salmo salar (Atlantic salmon). Its description in RNAcentral is "lncRNA (ENSSSAG00000088128.1, ENSSSAG00000094033.1)". Lineage: Eukaryota; Metazoa; Chordata; Actinopteri; Salmoniformes; Salmonidae. The record is from RNAcentral.
GCCAUUUGGGAAUGCGGAGGCCUCAAGUGAAGUUUUAAUGUCACGUGCACAAGUACAGUGAAAUACCUUUAAUGCCCAGCUCUAACCCCAACUAUGCAGCAAUCAAUAACAAUGUAAUACUGAGAAAUACAAGGUAGAACAAAAACACACCAGAUAUAAAAAUAACUAAGAAGAACACGAUCAAGUAAGUAAGAAUACUAUAUACAGGGUCAGUUCCAGUACCAUAUUAUAAUGUACAGGGAUACUGGAUCUAUAGAGGUAGAUAUGUAUAGGGGUAAACAUACUAUAUACAGGGUCAGUUCCAG